UACGUAGGGUGCAAGCGUUAAUUGGAAUUACUGGGCGUAAAGCGUGCGCAGGCGGUUAUGUAAGACAGAUGUGAAAUGCCCGGGCUUAACCUGGGAACUGCAUUUGUGACUGCAUGGCUAGAGUUUGGCAGAGGGGGGUAGAAUUCCACGUGUAGCAGUGAAAUGCGUAGAUAUGUGGAGGAACACCGAUGGCGAAGGCAGCCCCCUGGGUCAAGACUGACGCUCAUGCACGAAAGCGUGGGGAGCAAACAGG
Molecule: ribosomal RNA, 253 nt
Filed under: uncultured bacterium
Lineage: Bacteria
Description: partial 16S ribosomal RNA
Rfam family: Bacterial small subunit ribosomal RNA
Source: RNAcentral